GAUCCUGGCUCAGGAUGAACGCUGGCGGCGUGCUUAACACAUGCAAGUCGAACGGACUUAUACGCUUCCGAAGCUUCGGCAGAGGAUUGUAUAAGUUAGUGGCGGACGGGUGAGUAACGCGUGGGUAACCUGCCGUAGUACAGGGGGAUAACACUUAGAAAUAGGUGCUAAUACCGCAUAAGCGCACAGUCUCGCAUGGGACAGUGUGAAAAACUCCGGUGGUAUACGAUGGACCCGCGUCUGAUUAGCUAGUUGGUGAGGUAACGGCCCACCAAGGCGACGAUCAGUAGCCGGCCUGAGAGGGUGAACGGCCACAUUGGGACUGAGACACGGCCCAAACUCCUACGGGAGGCAGCAGUGGGGAAUAUUGGCACAAUGGGGGAAACCCUGAUGCAGCGACGCCGCGUGAGUGAAGAAGUAUUUCGGUAUGUAAAGCUCUAUCAGCAGGAAAGAAAAUGACGGUACCUGACUAAGAAGCCCCGGCUAACUACGUGCC
This 496-nucleotide ribosomal RNA is filed under the name uncultured organism. RNAcentral describes it as "SSU rRNA". It matches the Rfam family "Bacterial small subunit ribosomal RNA", at positions 15 to 509 of the family's 1533-position model. The record is from RNAcentral.